UACAGAGGGGGGCAAGCGUUUGUUCGGAAUUACUGGGCGUAAAGCGCGCGUAGACGGCUUUGCAAGUCGGGGUGUGAAAUCCCCCAGGCUUAACCUGGGGAACUGCAUUCGAGACUGCAUUUGCUAGAGUAUGGGGAGAGGGAAGUGGAAUUUCAGGUGUAGCGGUGAAAUGCGUAGAUAUCUGAAGGAACAUCAGUGGCGAAAGCGACUUCCUGGACCAAUACUGACGCUCAUGUGCGAAAGCGUGGGGGAGCAAACAGGG
Molecule: ribosomal RNA, 262 nt
Filed under: uncultured bacterium
Lineage: Bacteria
Description: partial 16S ribosomal RNA
Rfam family: Bacterial small subunit ribosomal RNA
Source: RNAcentral